AUGGGUAAGUGUUGGUUAAUUAGGCCAUAUGCUUGGCAUGAUGAUUCAUUGCGGCCUCUUGUGCGAGAAGUGGCCAUUAAAACAGUUGCAAAUGGAUGAGACGCUCCUGAAUGCAGCAUCAGACACGACAUACCGGCGGUGGUCUUCUCGGUCGGCGGCUACACCGGAAACUUCUUCCACGACAUCUCGGACGUAUUGAUCCCCCUGUACCUGACUUCAUUCCAGUUUAAAGGCAGGGUGCAGUUAUUCGUCACCGAUUGCAAGCAGUGGUGGCUCAGGAAGUAUAAACCGAUUCUACGGAGGCUGUCGCGCUACGACAUUGUCGAUUUCGACUCGAACAAUGAUGUGCACUGCUUCCACCAUGUGAUCCUUGGUCUGGUGAGGGACAGGGACCUGAUCAUACGCCGGCAUCCUACAAGAAACCCCAAGGGACACUCCAUGGUAGGAUUCACAAGAUUCUUGCGCCACGCCUACGGUCUCUGACGUGACAGGCCAUUUGUCCUUGGCAAAAACCCCGGCAAGAAGCCGAGGAUGCUGAUCAUAUCUCGUCGAGGGACACGAAGGCUCCUGAACCUACACGAGGUGGAGGCCAUGGCGACAGCGCUAGGAUUCGACGUGACGGUCUCCGAGGCCGGUGGCAACAGCAUCAGGAGGUUCGCGGCGAUGAUGAACCCGUGCGACGUGCUGGUAGCGGUCCAUGGCGCAGGCCUGACCAACCAGAUGUUCCUCCCGGCGCGGGCCGUGGUGGUUCAGAUUGUGCCGUGGGGCAGGAUGGAGUGGAUGGCCACCAACUUCUACGGUGAGCCAGCGCGUGGCAUGGGCCUUCGGUACCUCGAUUACCACGUCGCCGGAGAGGAGAGCAGCGUCGCCCGAUGGUACCCGAGGGACCAUGCCGUGUUCAGGGACCCCUUGGCCAUCCAUGCACAGGGGUGGAAGGCGCUUGCAGAGGUGGUGAUGACGCAGGACGUGAGGCUCGAUCUGGAUAGGUUCAGGCCUACUCUCCUACGUGCCCUGGACCUUCUUCAAGAUUUUAAGUUCAUGUGUCCUUAA
RNAcentral lists this ribosomal RNA (1050 nucleotides) under Triticum aestivum (bread wheat). Its description in RNAcentral is "partial small subunit ribosomal RNA". The record is from RNAcentral. Lineage: Eukaryota; Viridiplantae; Streptophyta; Magnoliopsida; Poales; Poaceae.